Long non-coding RNA from Syzygium oleosum, 630 nucleotides. RefSeq lists it as uncharacterized. Lineage: Eukaryota; Viridiplantae; Streptophyta; Magnoliopsida; Myrtales; Myrtaceae. The transcript has 2 exons. The record is from RefSeq and is a predicted model, not a curated record.
GAGCGCUUCUUUGCUUCCGUCCGCCAUUAACGUCUCCAUUGAUGCUCUGUUUCAAAGGCCUGCGACGUCUUGCCUAGGGAUAUUCAGGCGCACUAGUUGUCGAGCAUCACCGGUGCUGCUCGGUUCCCAUGAAUUCAAGCUCCAGCAUGGAACUCUCUAGAGCGUCGAAGUCCACAAAAGCAGGUCCCAAAGCCGGCACUCUGGAAUAGGCAGUUGAAGCGUUGAAAAGGGAAACAAAUUGAUGACGAUGCCAAAAAGAAAAGUUAAGUUCUAGGAUGGAGAGUGAUUUGGAGGAAAAAAUCAUAUCUUAUUCAGCGAAAAUUGUGAUGUCAAGAAGUGCUGAGGGACAAAGUGGCCAAAUUUGAAGCGGGUUUGUAUUCCAUGCUCUCUAACGCUCUUCCGUUUCAUGUUAGAGAAUGAGUUGAAGUUGGAAUAAUAUGAAGAAUUCAAGAUUUCUUUGAAACCUCUUUUUUCAAUGGGGUGAACACCGACUUGAAUGCUAUCAUGAUGGAUUGACGAAUAUCCACGAUGAAUGAAUAUGAGAUGGAAGGGGAUGAUGUUCUUGCAGUCGAACGACGAACUGUUUGAUUGAUUUCUCUAGUAAAUUCGAGAAAUAAUGCUUUUCAUGAA